Molecule: non-coding RNA, 80 nt
Filed under: Clostridium sp.
Lineage: Bacteria; Bacillati; Bacillota; Clostridia; Eubacteriales; Clostridiaceae
Also listed under: 1 other name
Description: ZTP sequence
Rfam family: ZMP/ZTP riboswitch aptamer (pfl RNA motif)
About the family: Previously known as pfl RNA.
Source: RNAcentral
UAGCAGUCAUACAACUGACGGAUAAGUGGAUCAACCACAUGAAGUAUGACUGGAAAUUGCCGACCGUCUGGGCGUCACAG